RNAcentral lists this ribosomal RNA (767 nucleotides) under Helotiales sp. hig3uA2-NN-2017. Its description in RNAcentral is "eukaryotic LSU rRNA". It matches the Rfam family "Eukaryotic large subunit ribosomal RNA", at positions 137 to 921 of the family's 3401-position model. Lineage: Eukaryota; Fungi; Ascomycota; Leotiomycetes; Helotiales. The record is from RNAcentral.
UCCGAGUUGUAAUUUGUAGAAGAUGCUUUGGGUGUAGCUCCGGUCUAAGUUCCUUGGAACAGGACGUCAUAGAGGGUGAGAAUCCCGUACGUGACUGGGUGCUUUCGCUCGUGUAAAGCUCUUUCGACGAGUCGAGUUGUUUGGGAAUGCAGCUCAAAAUGGGUGGUAAAUUUCAUCUAAAGCUAAAUAUUGGCCAGAGACCGAUAGCGCACAAGUAGAGUGAUCGAAAGAUGAAAAGCACUUUGGAAAGAGAGUUAAACAGUACGUGAAAUUGUUGAAAGGGAAGCGCUUGCAACCAGACUUGCACACUGUUGAUCAUCCGAGCUUCUGCCCGGUGCACUCAGCAGCGUUCAGGCCAGCAUCGGUUUUGGUGGGCGGAUAAAGGCCUUGGGAAUGUAGCUUCUUUCGGGGAGUGUUAUAGCCCUCGGUGCAAUGCGCCCUACCGGGACCGAGGACCGCGCUUCGGCUAGGAUGCUGGCGUAAUGGUUGUAAGCGACCCGUCUUGAAACACGGACCAAGGAGUCUAACAUCUAUGCGAGUGUUUGGGUGUCAAACCCAUACGCGUAAUGAAAGUGAACGGAGGUGAGAACCCUUAAGGGUGCAUCAUCGACCGAUCCUGAUGUCUUCGGAUGGAUUUGAGUAAGAGCAUAGCUGUUGGGACCCGAAAGAUGGUGAACUAUGCCUGAAUAGGGUGAAGCCAGAGGAAACUCUGGUGGAGGCUCGCAGCGGUUCUGACGUGCAAAUCGAUCGUCAAAUUUGGGUAUAGG